RNAcentral lists this ribosomal RNA (510 nucleotides) under uncultured bacterium. RNAcentral's name for it is "partial 16S ribosomal RNA". It matches the Rfam family "Bacterial small subunit ribosomal RNA", at positions 28 to 507 of the family's 1533-position model. The record is from RNAcentral.
GACGAACGCUGGCGGCGUGCUUAACACAUGCAAGUCGAACGAAGAGCGACGGAAGCUUGCUUCUAUCAAUCUUAGUGGCGAACGGGUGAGUAACGCGUAAUCAACCUGCCCUUCAGAGGGGGACAACAGUUGGAAACGACUGCUAAUACCGCAUACGAUCUAACCUCGGCAUCGAGGAUAGAUGAAAGGUGGCCUCUACAUGUAAGCUAUCACUGGAGGAGGGGAUUGCGUCUGAUUAGCUAGUUGGAGGGGUAACGGCCCACCAAGGCGAUGAUCAGUAGCAGGUCGGAGAGGAUGAACGGCCACAUUGGGACUGAGACACGGCCCAGACUCCUACGGGAGGCAGCAGUGGGGAAUCUUCCGCAAUGGACGAAAGUCUGACGGAGCAACGCCGCGUGAGUGAUGACGGCCUUCGGGUUGUAAAGCUCUGUUAAUCGGGACGAAAGGCCUUCUUGCGAAUAGUGAGAAGGAUUGACGGUACCGGAAUAGAAAGCCACGGCUAACUACGUG